UCAAACUGCUUAAGGUAUGUUUAGACUAUCUGAUUUUUUCAUCUGAUUCGAGCUGAUUGCUCGAAAAUAUAUCGAAUGCAAUGUUGUUUUACGUUUACACCUAUUCGAUAUUGUGAUUCGACAUGCCGUUCGAUAUGUCGAAUGAAAUAGGAACGUUUCUACUUUUCGUUCGACUCCAAGAACAUAGCAACCUUUGAUUUUUUUUUCAGUUUUUUGUUUUGGCUUUCCAUAACAAACAUCAUUUUCAUUUCUUGUGUGCUGGCAAAUAUUGAAAUAGGGAAAAGAAUUCAUUUGACAUUCAUUUGGCAGUUCUUCCUUUUGAUUUGUGCAAGCAGUGUGAACACCGUCAUAAACACAGAUUCGACAAAGUAUGUCGAACGGUAAAUCGAGCAGACUUUCGAUUUCUGCAGUGGUCAAAAUAAGACCGACAUGUCUAAUAGUCUAAACGUACCUUUACUUUUCCAUCUACCACUAGCAAUACUCAGAGGAAGAGAUAUGCGAAGAGAAUGUUGUGAGCCAAACGAACAUGUCAAAAUCCGAGCCAAACGAACAAGACAGAUGUAAAACGAGCAGGAUUUACGGCUGAUUAUUACUAUGGAAAAAUCUGCAAACCAACUUCAAUAUUUAGUUAUCGACUCGCUUCGCCAGGUGGAAGUUGCAGAGUGGUAGUUGCUACUUUAUUUUCUAGAAGCAAUACAACUGUCCUGUUUACACCCCAACAAACAACUACUCAUUGAAAUAACGUUUAAAAAACAGAUUUAUUCGGCUAAAUACUGAAUAACCACCGAACUAUUCACAACCACAACUUUUGUUCAUAUUUUGUUCACACAAAUUAGGAGAAUUUAUUCAGCCCCAAGGUAGUUUUAUUGAUGUUGCAUUAUAUUUGUUAGAAUACGUUUAUUCAAUUACGUUCCAACAAUCAAUUCUUCAUUAGAAAAACGUUUGCUCAGUAAUUUUGUUCAGCUGGAUACUAAAUAAUCGUCGAGCUAUUUUCAAUCACAACUUUUGUUCAAACUUUGUUCACUCAAAUAAAGAGAAUUUAUUCAGCUCCAA
Molecule: long non-coding RNA, 1053 nt
Organism: Wyeomyia smithii (pitcher-plant mosquito)
Lineage: Eukaryota; Metazoa; Arthropoda; Insecta; Diptera; Culicidae
Exons: 3
Source: RefSeq, a predicted model, not a curated record